AUGACUCUCGGCAACGGAUAUCUCGGCUCUCGCAUCGAUGAAGAACGUAGCGAAAUGCGAUACUUGGUGUGAAUUGCAGAAUCCCGUGAACCAUCGAGUUUUUGAACGCAAGUUGCGCCCGAAGCCGUUAGGCUGAGGGCACGUUUGCCUGGGCGUCGUA
RNAcentral lists this ribosomal RNA (160 nucleotides) under Nymphoides cordata. RNAcentral describes it as "5.8S ribosomal RNA". It matches the Rfam family "5.8S ribosomal RNA". Rfam says of the family: 5.8S ribosomal RNA (5.8S rRNA) is a component of the large subunit of the eukaryotic ribosome. The record is from RNAcentral. RNAcentral also lists the same sequence under 1 other name. Lineage: Eukaryota; Viridiplantae; Streptophyta; Magnoliopsida; Asterales; Menyanthaceae.